Long non-coding RNA from Nicotiana attenuata, 826 nucleotides. RefSeq lists it as uncharacterized. The record is from RefSeq and is a predicted model, not a curated record. Lineage: Eukaryota; Viridiplantae; Streptophyta; Magnoliopsida; Solanales; Solanaceae. The transcript is spliced from 2 exons.
ACCUAAAAAACACACACCCUAAGAAAAAAUACAUUGAAAUCCGCCGCUGAGCAGAACACGACCCCCCCGGACCUCUCCAAAACUUGAUCUUCUUCAAAAAGCUUCCAGCGAAAAACAGCACAGAACAGCCCCAAAAAUUGCCUGGAAUAAGCUGAAAAUUGACCGUGAAAUAACCCCUCAAACCCGGCAAAAUCAGCCGAGAAACAGCUACUUUUAAACCCGCAACAUCAGUUACAAAAAUCGUAGUUGUCGUCACUCUUUAACCCCAAAACAGUAGCUCAGAUUGUUGCUAAUUCCACCGCGAAACAGAACCAAAAUUUCAGUCGGGUUUGAGGUCGCUGACGAGAUUCCGAGCUCCGGUCGUUGGUCAGACUCUUACGCUUCGUUCACCUUGAGAGUGCAACUGUAAUAUCCAAGGCAAAUUUGUCAAUAUAAAUGUCGACCUUCCCAUUCCAUUCCGGUUUAUAUGGUGUUCGCUCAAGUUUCCGUACACUUGUUAUCCCUAGUAGCAUGAAGUUUCACUCAAUGUACAUGAACCCUUGUGAAAUCCAAAUGAUGAAGCUUUUCUACCAUACGACUCUGUUUUUUUGUUUUCAUUAUUAGUUUAAUAUGUAGCUGUAGUUUCAUUACUAGUUUGUAUUAAUUAGGACUGUUUGGAUUUGUUUCAAUUAAACUAUAAAGCUUUUGGACUGUUGAUUCUAAGACUGUACUAAUUAGGACUAUUGGACUCCUUUUGUAAAGGACUGUGAACUAAUUCGGUCUCAAUCAUGAAUCACCUGAAAUUCGUGUCUAGUAAUGUUAGGUUCGAUUUAAAUUGGUGCUGCUA